This 434-nucleotide ribosomal RNA is filed under the name uncultured bacterium. RNAcentral's name for it is "bacterial SSU rRNA". It matches the Rfam family "Bacterial small subunit ribosomal RNA", at positions 29 to 507 of the family's 1533-position model. The record is from RNAcentral.
AACGAACGCUGGCGGCAGGCCUAACACGUGCAAGUCGAGCGGGACCUUCGGGUCUAGCGGCGGACGGGUUAGUAACGCGUGGGAACGUGUCCAAAGGUACGGAGUAGCCUCGGGAAACUGAGAGUAAUACCGUAUGUGCCCCUCGGGGGAAAGAUUUAUCGCCUUUGGAUCGGCCCGCGUUGGAUUAGGUAGUUGGGUGGGGUAAUGGCCUACCAAGCCGACGAUCCAUAGCUGGUUUGAGAGGAUGAUCAGCAACACUGGGACUGAGACACGGCCCAGACUCCUACGGGAGGCAGCAGUGGGGAAUCUUAGACAAUGGGGGAAACCCUGAUCUAGCCAUGCCGCGUGAGCGAUGAAGGCCUUAGGGUUGUAAAGCUCUUUCAGAUGGGAAGAUAAUGACGGUACCAUCAGAAGAAGCCCCGGCUAACUCCGUG